This 3128-nucleotide long non-coding RNA is filed under the name Eucalyptus grandis. RNAcentral's name for it is "long non-coding RNA (EGRA_LNC004100)". Lineage: Eukaryota; Viridiplantae; Streptophyta; Magnoliopsida; Myrtales; Myrtaceae. The record is from RNAcentral.
UUUUUGUUCCCCCUCUCCUCUCUUUCCUCUCUCGGACGCAUGCUUUUUCUCCACCUGCUUCUGCCGAUCUUUUCAUUUGCCUUCCCUUGAGCCAUCCCACUUUCUUCUUCACGUGCAGACUCAUCCCCCUCAAGCUUUCACCCCCACGCCCCCCAAUUUCUCUAGUUACUCUCUUCUUCAACCCGCGAGACUACAGCUCACGAACCGAGCGUGCUUCAGCCAUGAUUCCUUUUCACGCCGCCAGCUCAUGGUCAACAAACUAGCCAUAAAAUCCACCGAAGUUGCAUUUUUGACCACCGAAUCCUCUCCAUCUCUGCUUCGGUUUGCCAACGUCUGCUGCCACCGCAUCAAUCGAAGUAGCCUCAUCACCACAUGGCCUCAACCAGUAACUUCGGCCACCUGCCGCGUGCUCCAUCAACGUACAUCUCUGCCGAAUUCACCCUCUUCGAGCAGUCCACGUUUACCUCAGCUUCACCGACUUCUCCGCCAACUUGCUUCCACUUCGUGCAGCCCAUUCCACCGCCAGCAGCCGUCCACUUCCUUCGGUCUUCACUCCAGGUUGCCACGGUGUCGAGGUCCAUCGAAGCUUUAGUCAACCUUACAUCUUCUUAGGCGGUUUGUUGACCUAGCAAAUCCACCGAGCGGCCGCUUCUGCCAUCAUCUGCCGCGCGUGCCUUCAUCCACCGAGACUGCAGCCACUUCACGGUCAACAAACCAGCAUCGAAGACCACCACAAUUGACAGCCCUCAGCUCCACGCGGCCAGCGUCCAGCUGCCCGAAGACUCCAAUUGGUCGUCAAUUGUCGAGGCCCAACGACGGCCUUCGCUGCUCCUUCCUCACUCGGGCAGCACCGAACGAAGCAGCAAUCCACAAUUUCUUCUCCGCCAGCUCACCAUCGUCACCUGCAGUUCACGCAUUUCCUUGGCCCAAUAGAAUUCAGUCUUCGGGCCCAGCAAAGCCAGCAGAUUCCAGUGUCUUCGGCCCAUCUUUUUUACAGUGUGCAACCCAGCGUCUUCAGUCUUGGGCCUGUGUCUCCAGCCCACAAAUCUAGCAAUUUUGGCCAGCAAGUCCAGCGCAUUGCAACCUAGCGUUUGGCCCAUCCUUCAGCAGUAAUUUGGCCCAUGAUUUUAACAGUUUGUACAGCUCCUUGACGUCAGCCCAGUCCAGCAUGGCCCAGCAAGUCUAGCCCAUCUUAGGCCCGUGAAGCAAGUCAGCCCAAGUUCAGCCGCCAUCACGUCGCCGUCGCAGUUUCCGAUCUUCGCAUGUACAAGUGAGUUUUACUCACUAAUGCCUUCUUAAUUUUCUAAUUAUACUUAAAGGUUGAUUAUAUUUAGUUAAGUGCAAUUAGGUGGUUAGAUUAGAGUAUAUUAGUGAUUAUUAGAUAAUUGUGAUUCAUGUCAGUCAAUUGGAUUGUGCAAUUAGCGAGUAGGCAUGCAAUACUAUUUAUUGAAUGCUACUUGGGAUUUUUCCCAACCCUUAUCCGGUGUUAAUUAGGAAAUUCGGGCCUAAGUGGAAUUUUUAGGAAUUAAAUAUUAAUUUUGGAAAUUAAUUAUUUAAUUAUUUAAUUCCCGGAAAUUCAACUGGGAUGGCCAGUGACCGAGAUUUUAUGAUGAUGAUCGUGGUGUAGUCCGUUUAUUUAAUUGGGCUUUAUAUUGUGCUAACUUGAAUUUAUUGGAUUUACUUAUUUAAUUUUCGAAAUUAAUUAUUUAAUUAUUUAAUUAUUUAUUUCCCGGAAAUUCAACUGGGAUGUUCAGUGACCGGAGUUUUGUGCUGAUUGUUGUGGCACAAUUCAUUUAUUUAAUUGAGCUUUAUUUUGUGCUGAAUUGAAUUAUUUGUGAAAUUAAGAAUUAUUCUUUAAUGGAAUAAUCUUUGGUUAUUAAUUGAAAAAUAACUGGGCAUCGGUUGACAGCGCCAAAAAUAUUUUGGUGGACUACAAAUAAUGGUGGGAUUUGUGGAAAUGAAAUUAUAAUAUUUUAGCUAAAGCCGACCGUGUACCCACACACGAAUAGUUUAUCGAGAAUCAUAAAAAUGGUGAUUUGAUUAAAUGAUUAUUUCAGCAUACUAUAAGAAUAUGACUGACAGCUUCUGGUGAGCAUAUAUAUAUUAUUUUCGGCAUACUAUAAAGGUAUGGCUGGCAACUUCUGGUGAGCAUAUAUAUUAUUUUCGACAUACUAUAAAGGUAUGGCUGGCAACUUCUAAUGAGCAUAUAUUAUGUUCGGUAUACUAUAAAAGUAUGGCUGGCAGCUUCUUGUGAGCAUAUUAUUAUAUCGGAUCAGUAGAUCUAGCAGCUUCUGGUGAGCAUCGGGGGUAUAUUAUAUCAGCCUGUGGGCGAUAUGUCAGCUUAGCGAGAGUAGUAUACCAGUAUACUAUAUCAGCCUACGGGCGAUAUGUCAGAUUAGCGAUGGCAGUAUACCUUAACCCUAUUAACUUUUUAGUGCGAGUUAUACUAUAUAUAUAUCAACUUAGAGUGAGCAGUCCUGAACUAUGGUCGGACUUAUAGAUAAUAUUAAAUGUGCUGACCACGCAUAGGUCAUGAUGACAUGUAAUCUACUAGGUCGAUUGAUUAUUGGUUCAUUCUAAUGUUGUGAAUUGAUUGAUUGAAUGGAAAUGACCGUGAGUGGUCUUGUUGGCAUGUAAUCGACUAGGUCAAUUUGAUUGAUGCUUCGAUCAGUGAUGUGAUUGCUUGGAUGUCUAUUUAAUAUGUGCUAAUAUGCAGGUGGAAUCUGAGGCCAAGGUAAGUCCUCCGACUCAUGUUGUGCAUAGGCAGCCCUAAGGUAUAUUAGUUUACUAAUCGGGUCUUAGGGGGUAGAACUUAUUGAGACAUGGUCUCAAUGGUUAUUAAAUAACCAUUUCAGGACCCUGAUGAGGAGCUUGCAGAGGAGGAAUCUGAAGAGGAGAACCCUAAUGUGGAACCAGAUGAGAAGGAAGAUUUUGGAGAAGAAGAUAACCAUGAGGAGGAUCCUGAGUAUGACCUGGAUGAAGACUGAGUUCCCAUCUUGUUUUGUCAGACCUUGAUUAUAUGUGGAUAAGGAUUAGAUCAGACCCCUGAGAAUAGUAUUACAUUAUAUACUAUGAGGUGCUUGUAUAAAAGAGUAGUUGUGAAUUUUAGUAUGAAAAAUAUGGCCCUG